RNAcentral lists this ribosomal RNA (566 nucleotides) under Acrobeles sp. MCb24. RNAcentral describes it as "SSU rRNA". It matches the Rfam family "Eukaryotic small subunit ribosomal RNA", at positions 1059 to 1651 of the family's 1831-position model. Lineage: Eukaryota; Metazoa; Nematoda; Chromadorea; Rhabditida; Cephalobidae. The record is from RNAcentral.
GGUGGAUUUUUAGCCCUGGUGGGAAGCUUCCCGGAAACGAAAGUCUUCCGGUUCCGGGGGAAGUAUGGUUGCAAAGCUGAAACUUAAAGGAAUUGACGGAAGGGCACCACCAGGAGUGGAGCCUGCGGCUUAAUUUGACUCAACACGGGGAAACUCACCCGGCCCGGACACCGUAAGGAUUGACAGAUUGAUAGCUCUUUCAUGAUUCGGUGGUUGGUGGUGCAUGGCCGUUCUUAGUUCGUGGAUCGAUUUGUCUGGUUUAUUCCGAUAACGAGCGAGACUCUAGCCUACUAAAUAGUAACGGAAUUAUUACAGUUCCGCUUGCUUCUUAGAGGGAUUUUCGGUGUUUAGCCGCACGAGAUUGAGCAAUAACAGGUCUGUGAUGCCCUUAGAUGUCCGGGGCUGCACGCGCGCUACACUGGCGAAAUCAGCGUGCUGUAUCCAUUCUCGAAAGGGAUUGGUAAACCCAUGAAAAUUUGCCGUGCUUGGGAUCGGAAAUUGCAAUUAUUUUCCGUGAACGAGGAAUUCCAAGUAAGUGCGAGUCAUCAACUCGCUCUGAUUACGUC